AGUUGAUCACUGUAGAAGGUCGGUUGAUAGUGAGGCCCAGAGAGCUUUUGGAGCGGCCCGACAGAUGGAUGGAGAAGCUCAUUAUCGGAGAAGUCCGAAUAGUAUUAUGGAAGCUCGGACGGUCGAGGGGGUUCAAAGAGAUGCUACACAAAAUCGGAAGCCGGAAAAGCCCUGGAAGGGUUGGUCUUUUACAAACUUUGGCUGGGGGGUAUUUUAUACCCAACACAUAUUAAUAAGGGAUCAGAAGUCAUAUACCAAACAUGAAGAUAAAGAUCUGGUAAUAAAAAGAUCUCUACAAGACUCUAAACUAGAAGCCCUCUAACGGUGAUCCACACGGGAC
Molecule: long non-coding RNA, 340 nt
Filed under: Elaeis guineensis (African oil palm)
Lineage: Eukaryota; Viridiplantae; Streptophyta; Magnoliopsida; Arecales; Arecaceae
Description: long non-coding RNA (EGUI_LNC064677)
Source: RNAcentral